RNAcentral lists this long non-coding RNA (225 nucleotides) under Elaeis guineensis (African oil palm). RNAcentral describes it as "long non-coding RNA (EGUI_LNC049997)". Lineage: Eukaryota; Viridiplantae; Streptophyta; Magnoliopsida; Arecales; Arecaceae. The record is from RNAcentral.
AUGGCUGGUGUAGAAUUCUUCAUGUUUGGAACUCAGUGAUCAAGAAUCAGGAUUCUCUGAUCAUGAGUUCCACACAUUAUGGGUACCGGGGUCAAGAGUCCCACUGGUUGGGACUUUUCGAUCAGGAUUACAUAUCGAUGAAUUCUGAUGCCCGAUUGCCCAUCGAAUUUGGACUCAGUAUUUAUGAGAGAUUUAAUUAGUGAUUUGAUCACUAAUUAACUCAAU